AAAAAAAUCCAGGAAGACGAAGAUGAAGAUGUAGAUGAAGAUGAAGGUUAAUCACAUGCCCAAACAUCUACACAUUCUACAAGUUCAUACUGUAGUACUGAACAGUACGGAGGUCGUAAAGGGACAUGGAUAUUUAUUGUUUUUAGGAAAAGGCAUAUUCUUUUUUUUUAUAUCACGUGCGGUCGUAAAACCUUCGUGUUCUCGCGAGAUACUGUACUUUCGCGUUAAACGGCCGUGUGCGCACGAGAAAUUAUACGGUGCUCGACUCAAGAAAUAUUGAGAUGAAAUGGAUGCACCGGCGGUUGAGCUAAACAUUUUCGAAAUAUACCUGGAAAUAUCAUCAAGCAGCUAAAGGUGACAAGGUAAAUGAGCCACCACUUAAUUGUUUGCAUGCAUUGAAUGACAUCUUUACUUAAUCAAUCUGUUGCGCCAGCUACUUUGCUAGCUUGUUGUGGUUUGUUUAUUCUGUAGUUAACAUUUUUGACAUUUGCCUUUGCAGAUCGACAUCAGUGUCAUAAAUUGUAUGACUGAUGAGGAGUUAGGCCAGUGUUUACUUAGAUAUAGGGAGCGACUUGCAUUCAGAGCAUUUUGCCGUCAAAGGACAUUGACAAAUGAACCAUCUGAAGGAGCCCGAGCUGCAAGUUGCGAGGACAACGGAACUUUCAAGAUAAGUGAAUGGAGCAGGCAUUCAACUCCCGACCCACACACACCUUGUGAAGAUGUUUAUAAUCACACUUACCAGUCCACAAGCAGCAUUAAACACCAACUGAUGGGCCUAUGAUUUCCCACAUUGAUGUCCCAGGAUUACCAGACCAUCCUGAAAAUUCAUCAGACCCUCAUCUGAAAAAUGUGUCAGAAAAAGAAGUCCAGCAUGUGACACACAGAUAUGGGAGCAAUACGGGCAAUCUCCCUCCAGACACAGGUGAAGAGAGGUUGAUGUUAAAAGUGGAGACAUGCCAGCUGAUGGACAGAUGUGGUAUGGAAGAGCGACCCGGCAGGGAGCAGCACCUCAGUCCUGCCGCCAUGAGCAGCAAUUUCUACUUAAUGAGAACAGGCAGAGGAAAUCCUGAAGGAAAGACAGAAACCAAACAGCAUGAGUUUGCUGUUUUCAGACUACAAAUGGCCCAAAUUUAGUUUUGUUUGUUGUAUUAUGAGCUGGACAUACAACAUUUUGACAUUUUGAGCAAAUACACAUCAGAAACAUGAACCAGAAGUGACAGGUGACCAGGUUAUGUGCUCUCUGAGGGAAUGUUGCUAAAAAAGCUUUGCCUCAGGGUUUCCUUGUAGCUCACUUAGAUACAGUGCAGUUCAUGUUAUACAAGCACAAUAUGUUGACGUGCAACACUGGUUUACUGCGCUCGGACUCAAAAGCAGAUCCAGAGGCAGACAGGAAAGGUGAAAAAGUCUCGGCUGGAAAAAAAUCUAGCAAACCUUCAGGCAGGACAGGAUAACAAGUUAAAAAGAGCACAAAACAGAGAGAGAUGUAAUUUAAGGUAGUACAGUGAAGUCAACAGCCACACAAACAGGGAUGAGAUUGCUGCAGUACAGCAGCGAAGCGCCUACAGGUCACAAUCAAAAAUCUCUUUUGCAGAUGAGGACCAGGUCAAGUAAGGAGCAAAAAACAUGCUGAGAGCCACUAAAGAAAAUGAGACUAAGUGUGACUUGUGCUUCCAGUUCUGUGCUGCAGCCGGACAAAAGGAUAAUGCAGCAGCUCCCACAAUGUAGGUGAAAAGAAACCGAAGAAGUACAGUAGCAGCAAAAAAAAACUUGGCAAUAAAAAGCAAGAAACAGGAAAAGAUACGGAAUCA
Molecule: long non-coding RNA, 1808 nt
Organism: Betta splendens (Siamese fighting fish)
Lineage: Eukaryota; Metazoa; Chordata; Actinopteri; Anabantiformes; Osphronemidae
Source: Ensembl